GGCUAGAGGUAGCUGGAGCACACCGGUAGCGUGGAGAAAGAGAAGAGGCUGGAGUGAGCAGCUACAUGCUCACUCCCAUCAGUCUCAGCCAGUAUACAAGGUAAGCUAAGAGUGGCUGCAGAUCAAAUUUUUAUGCCUUGUGUGUGUAUGUGGUAUAGUGUGUGUCAGUGUAUAUCUGACUGUGUGUGUAUAUGUGCAAGUGUGUGUAUCUGUGUGUAUUUGAGUGUGUGUGUGUGUGUGUUUAUCUGUGUGUCAGUGGGUAUCUGAGUGAGUGCAUAUGUACCAUUGUGUGUAUCUGUAUGUAUCUAAGUGUUUGUAUGUGCCAGUGAGUGUAUAUACCAGUCUGUAUAUCUGUGUGUAUUUGAGUGUGUGUGUAUCUGUAUGUCAGUGUGUAUCUGAGUGUGUGUGUGUGCCAGUGUGUGUAUCUGUGUAUGUAUGUGACAGUGUGUGUAUGCGUCAGUGUCCGUAUCUGUCUGUGUAUGUGACAGUGUAUGUGUAUGUGUCAGUGUCUGUAUCUAUGUGUCAAGGUGUGUGCAUGAGUCUGUUUGUUAAUAGCGUCUGCAAAUAGGUGUAAUAUGUAAAUAGUUGUGUUCUGUCAUAAUAAAAUAUCAUGUCAUUGUUCAUACAUGUUUGAUGGCUGUGUGAGUUUUGGGACGCGCAUGUGUGUGUGUUUACGUGUGCAUGUGUGGCAGUGCGCGGGUGGGGUGUGAAGCCACCUCCCUGAAAUGAGCUUUUGCUUGUUGGGAUAUCUGCUUUAAUUAGUAGGAAGUUUUGUGCCGUGCAUAUCCCACUUUUAGCAUAUUUGUAGGUUCAAGCUAUUAGAAAAAUAUGAUGCAGAGUUAGCACAUAAAACGUAGGACAAAACAGUGUACAUAGAAUGAUGCCAUUGCACUUACAGUUUCUCUGUGAGAUGCCAAUGGACGAAAUGUAGUCCAAGGGGAGAAAUUUGUUCUUUAGAGAGAGGCCUGGCACAUGAGUGGAAGAGGCUUUAUGUAAUAAAUGUAUCUUCCCAUUGCUUUGCAGUGUCCAUAUAUGCACUGGUUUGGUAGGAAAGGGAUACAUAAUUUCCCAUUGAUUCUGUUCUGUCAAGAAUAAAUGUUUUUUAUAUACAUAGGACUUGUUCCAUUUCUAUCACUGUGUUGAGGAUUGAAGAGAGUGCAGAGGCAGUUGUUUAGUUAGUACAAAAUAUGUAUGUUUUACCAGUUAUCAAUGUCUUGCAGCUUUUCCACAGGUGUUUGCUCUUGAGAAAUACAGUGUGCCCAGAAUUUCUGACAUUCCAAAAAUUACUGGGGGAGGGUUAGGUAUACUGAUCAGAUCUACUUUAUUACUUUUCUGAAGGCAACAUGCAAACAUUUUGUAUUUAGCAUGAACUCAGCAGUUUGAUAUUAAAGGGACACUAUAGUCACCAAUUUAAUGUCCCUGCAGGCUUUUUGCAGUAAGCAGUCUUUUCAGAGAAAAUACAGUGUUUACAUUACAGCCUAGUAUCAACUCCGGUAGUAGCCACUAGAGGUGCUUCCUGGGUCAGUACUGCACAAUGUGCAGCACUAACUUUCAGCGUCUCUACACUCUACAUAUAGACGUUGAAUUUUCCCCAUACAGAUGCAAUGAUUCAAUGCAUCUCUACGAAGAGAAGGUUAUUUGGCCAGGGCGGCAUUUCCCCCCACACACACCAUUGGCUGAUAUCAUCAAAAUUGACAAUCUCAGUACAUCCAAUGCUUACCUGUGGGAAAGCAUUAUGAUUGGCUGAGGUUAUCAAUUCUGAUUAUGUCAUCCAAGGGCAAUGGGGAGGCUCUCUGGCCAAGACAGGUUAGUUUCUUGGGCCAUUUUUAACAUUCUAGCUAGGGUGCCAUUCAUGCGCUCUACCGUGCCACUGCUCUGAGGGUGAUAGGGUGUGUGGAAUGCAAGGGUCACCCCCAGUGCUUCCAAGAUUUCUUUGGUUACUGAUGCAGUGAAGGCUGGUCCCUGAUCACUUUCUAUUACCUCGGGGACCCCAUAUCUGCAUAUUACUUCGGUGAGCAGGCGUUUGGCUGUGGUUUUGGCUGUCAUAUUGGUGACUGGGUAGGCCUCUGGCCAUCCUGAGAACAUAUCCACUAUGACUAGUGCAUAUUCAAAACGGCCACUCUUUGGCAUUUGAAUGUGGUUAAUGUGACAGAACAAUCUGUCUGUCUAUUGUGGUGGAUUCGUCUAUCUCUGCCCCCUUUCGUGUAAAUGGCUGUUUCUAUAGCCCAGCCAAACAAAUCCACCGAACGGAUGGCCACCCAGAAUAAGAAGUGUGCUGCUGGUUAACCUCUUGAUCCCAAUUAGAAUGUUGUGGUUAACUGCAGACACUUCUCAAUUAAACCAAAUUCAGGGUGAUCGUCGUUCGUAUGUCGACCACGAGGCAGCGGCCAUUUUAAAAUGCACGAAAGCCCAGCGGUGUUUGGCAUUGAUUCCAUGGAACUAAAAACGGACACUUUUUCUGCCGAACACCGCUGAAACAACGGAUCGCCUGGCUGCCUCGACGAAAGCGUACGAACACCGGCUGUUCGGGAGUUUGGAAACACACGAAAGGACUUAACCCAGAUAGCCUUCCCAUGGAGUCAAUCGCAUACCGAAAGACUGUAAGAACUUUGACUCCAUGGCGAUUGAACUAUGUGUGUGGGAUCUGAGCGCUAUUCGCCAAUAAUAUGCACUCAGAUCCAGGCUAUCUGGGGAUAUGUGAUGUGAAUGGGAAAUGUUCGGUUAUUUUAAAGUUAUGUAUUUUUAUGUAUUUUCUGGUGUUGUGUUUAAGAUGGUGAUUUGUCCUUGUCCUGGAGAUAAUUGAAUUACUUCUCAAUUAUCUCCAGGGCAGAGGGGAGGAAACCAUAUUGCAUUAUGGGAAAAGCUUGUGACUGUACGUCUGAAAUGUCCCCAUGUCCAUCUGUAAUUCCAGUCUCCCAUUUGGUCCCCUAAGGGAGUGUCCACCAAGUGGGAGACCUGCAUAAAUACGGGCAGGUAGCACACAGUAAAGCCAGAUCCUGUUUGACCCUCAAUGCGGAGCUUCUGUCUCGUUAUUGGGGGGAUUUCUUAUUUGCGCUUAGAGACUGCUUAUUGGAUCCGAAAGCCGCUUGGUGGAUAUCGUUGUUCGGCGGCUAGCAGCAGUUCGUGGAUUUCCGUUCGGGAGUUUGGAGUCUUUCACGGAUCCCAGUCGGGAGAUUACCGCUUCCCCUGAUGGUGGUUCGUAUACUGCAGUCUAUGCGAACUGAGUUAUUGGUAUUGCAGAAGGGGAAGGCUAACUAAACGGCGGUUUCGUUUAAAGACACCAGGGGUGUCUUAACAGUCAAUUUGGAUUCUUUGGAAAGGAUAGUGGGGUUUAGCCAGAUGCUUUGAGGGGGGCUUUUUCCAUCCUGCCUGGGUUGCACUUGGUGCAGAUGGUGAAGGAUCUGCAGUAACUGUUUGUCAAGGAGGUAAUCCUUGGUGCUUCAUAGUAUUUGUUGAUCAGGGAGUUCAUGAGGGUCCUGGACAGGUGUGAAGUUCCAUGUGCCCACUGGACCACUGCUGAGUACAUGCUCUUGGGUAAGCAGAACCUGAGGUUAUUGGAGUACAACCCGUCUUGAAGGGUUGCCCCUUACUGUUCCCAGCAUUGUAUUUCUUCAGGAUCAGCAGCUGCUUUUAGUUCCUUCAGGAGCUUCAGGUCUGUGGGUAAGGUCUGCAUGGGGAAUAUGGGGAUUUCUUCAGCGGACACUCUUCUGUCCACUUCUCAUGGUGCACACGCGGCUUGCUUGGUGGCUUGAUCAGCUAGAUGGUUGCCUCGUGCUUCAUCUGAGUUCAAUUUCCCGUGAGCCUUUACCUUCAGUAUGGCCACUUCUUCAGGGAGGAGUAGGGCAUCCAUCAGAUCCUUGAUAGUCGUGCUGUGUUUGACCAGUGUGCCAGUUGCUGUGAGAAAUCCUCUUGUUUUCCAGAUUAGUCCAAAGUCAUGGGCCACGCCUAGUGCAUAUCUUGAGUCACUGUAGAUAUUGGCGCGUUUUCCUUCAGAGAUCUUGCAUGCUGUGGUAAGGGCCUGUAACUCAGCUUCUUGUGCAGACAUGGUUGAAGGGAGUGAGGAUGUUUGGAGUAUUGCAUCCACUGUGGUGACUGCAAAUCCAGUAUGAUAUCUGCCUUGUUCAUCAGCAUAUCUGGACCAAUCCACAAACAGGGUGAGGUCAGGCUCUUGUAAGGCAUCUUCAUGUACAGUUGGGAAGUGUGUUGUCUCCAUCUUCAUCUGUUCAAAGCAAUCAUGGGGUGCAUCCGGAUCUUGGUCUGUAGGAGGAGUCUCGGUGCAUAUCUCUGCGUGGAAUUGGGGAAAGCCAAUUGCCCUGCAGUUCAGGGUUUCCUUGGUGACACCCUCUUCAGAGAGCUGGGUCUGGUCCUCAGUGAUCCAUGAUUUGGCCAAUGGGCCGAGUUCCUUCCAUGAGGUCUGGGGAGACUUAGUUAAAGAGAUGUGUGGGACAGCUAAGUCCCAGUGAUGGUGUAGGUGAGUUACCUCCGAAGGCAGGAGGACUAGGGCCACGCUGUUGCCUUUAGAAUCAUAGAAGAGGUCUGUUAUGGCAAUUGGAACAGGUCUUAUUCAUAGUGGGGGUCGGGUCCUGGGGUAUUUCUGUACCACAAGGUGCAGUGAGGGAAGGUCUGAGUAUCAUGUGGGACGGGGGACAUGACUUUUUUAGUCNNNNNNNNNNNNNNNNNNNNNNNNNNNNNNNNNNNNNNNNNNNNNNNNNNNNNNNNNNNNNNNNNNNNNNNNNNNNNNNNNNNNNNNNNNNNNNNNNNNNGUCCAGGAUCAAAGCCAUUGCCUUUGCAAACUGACUGAGAGAGUUUUGUGCUCCUUGAGGCAUGACAGUCCAGGUGUAUUGCUGACGUUCAUGGGUGAAGGUGAACAGAUAUUGACAUGAAGGAUCUAGGGGUACACUGAAGAAUGCAUUAGCCAAAUCCACAAUUGUGAAGUACCUGGAGGAAGGUGGGACUCCUGACAGGAGGGUGUGUGGGUUAGGCACAAUAGGGGUGUCCAGAACGGUUGCUUCAUUAACAGCCCGGAGGUCCUGGACCAUUCUGUAUUUCUCAGGUUCCCCUUUGGCAGUUUUCUUCUUCACGGGGAACAGGGGAGUAUUGCAGGGAGACUAACAGGGGAUCCAGGCACCAUUGGACACUAGGGUCUUAACCUGCAGGCUUCAGAGGGUAUUGCGGCUUACGGGGGAGGCAGGCCCCUGGGAUUAACUUCACUAGGACUGGAGGGACAUGAAGGAGUCCAAUAUCCCCUGGGCUGUUGACCACAACUUGGUGAGUACUCUGUCUAAAGCACUGGGAGGUGUGUCUGGAACCCUUGCAUUCUUGGCAGGUUCUUCAAUGUGAAGUAAGAGGGGUAGCAAGCAGAGGGCCGAUGCAUCAGCAACAGAUAGGGGGAGAAGACAUUUUAAUUUGGCCAUCUGGGGUAAAGGUGAUAGAAGCCUGCAAGCGGGAGAGGACAUCUGCACCCAACAAAUUCAUAGGUGGAGGAUACUACAAAACCGGCUAGGAGGUCGGAUGGAACACUUUCAAGGGCUGGGUGAGAGGGCUAGAUCGAGGAGUGCCAUCUACCCAUAUGCAAGAGACAUCAAUAUUAGACAGGAAUAAGGAGUCAGGCAGGUCUUGUUCUUUAAGGACGCUCCUGACUGCGUCUGUGUCAACUAAGAAGGUGGUAGGGUGGCCUUCUACAGACAGUACCACCCUUGCUAGGGUCCCUCCCUUAUCCCCAUAAGACACUGCCAUAACAGGGGUAGGUGACACAGGUUUGCCAGUUACCUAGCGUAAGAGAUCCAGGUGAGCCUGGUCAGGGCCAGUGGAGGGGCGGUUGGCAGCAGGAUUGCUGGUUGCUGGGUAGCUGGCUGCUGGGUGACUGGGAGCAGGGUGACUAGCUGCAGGGUAGAGCGGUCUUCUAUCCUGUGGGGGAGUCUGUCUAAAAACUCUUGGGGGGCCACAGUCCCUUUUGAAAUGACCCGGUUGUCCAAAGUUGAAACUAUUUUUAUGCUGUGGUAUAGGGGGGUUGACCAAUAGGUAGGCCCAGGCCUGAAGGUUGGGACAUACGGUAGUAUGGGCAAACAUGAGGGGGGCUGGCUUCCUGGGGAGUUGGAAGGAUUCUAGGCCUUUUGCAACCAGCAGGAGGGUGUCCAAGGGAAGCACCCUAUACUCGGGGCGGGACAGAAGCAGGCUUUUGCGUAGAGAUUCUUUAAGGCCUGCUACAGAGGCCGCAGAUAACAUUUGGGUAUGGGCCUUGUUAUACAUGCUGAAACCCAGAUCGGAGAAGACUUGGGAUAACCUGGUGUGAUAUUUCUCCACAGACUCUGUCUUAUCUUGUGAUAUCGUUAAUGUAAGUGGCCUGGUCAGCUAAUUUAUCUUUGGCCCAGUCUCGGAGCUGUUCACAGAACUCUAUGCCCGUGGCAUAAUUGGUAUCGCUAGUGAGUCGGGCACUGGAAAGACUUUUCUCCAUGAUAGGCCAGUAAGCAUCUCCUGCUUUUAUUUCACAGAGAUUAAGUAAGUCACGCCAUGUGGCAGAAUAGGUCUUUUGGACCUGGACAAUCCUUCGGUAGAAGGGCAUAGGUUGUUUCUCUGGGUCCGGAUGGGAGCCCACUAGGGUACAGUCUGGGACGGAGUAAAGGUGACGUACAUUAAGGGGGCCCCUUCCGUGAGAAACCGGGCCUUGCGGUUCCCAUCAUGAGGUUGUGGAGGACCGCCCCCAAGUAGGCCAUCGUCGUCAGGAGGGAUCUGGUACCCAUGGGAACUGGCGGCCUCAAAGGAGUGUGAACCCUGUAGGCUGCACAUAGGGGAGAGGCAUAAGGGUUGAAGGGGAGUGGGCAGGACCUGGACUCCCCCUUGGGGCGUGUGAGCAGGCGGAUCAUCCGUGGUAACUAGGGGUCCGUCUAUGAAGGGCAUGACAAAGGCUGAGGUAAUAGGGGCUGGAAGGGGAGGCACAGCAGGGGUAGACAUAACAGGGGCAGAGGUAAUAGGGGCGGGCAGAGAGGGCAUGAAAGGGGCAGCGGAAUAGAGUGUUCCAUCCGCCUUAAGGACGGGGUAUACGGGGGGUGGUUGUCGAUACUGGGAAUAUGGUGGAGGUCAUGGGGGCCGGGCCGACCUCCUUCCCUUUGUGCCAGUAUCCAUCAUAGGGCGAUGGCUGACCUGUACCUUCAGUAUUACAAGUACCUUCAUGAUAUACGUACAUUCUGUGACCACCUAGGUCUAUUUCAUCCUCCACCCACCCCACCUGGUGAAUUGCUCUGGCAACUCUAUACCAGGCAUCUGCUGUCUGUACUAGCUUGCUGUCCUGCAACAAUCCCUUCUUCUCUUUUAGCAGCUUGCGCCAGCCUUCUGGCUGUAGCCGCCCGCUGGCAGACAUAUUAAUGCCACAUAUCUUAGCUACCUUCUUCACCUUCCCCACUGCCUCCUCACCCUCUCUCUCUCUCUCACUAAAUCACAUGCUAACCAACCCUUACUGGGUUUCUCUAGCUUCUGUCCAAUCCUCUCUAAUCAAGAUAUCACAAGAUAGAGACAAAUAGGAAAGAGAACGUAUACAGUGCUCGACUGCCACAGAGGUUUACCCUGCGUGCGUCUUCACAAAACAUAGACUAAUCACUAGGUCCGCCCACCCCAGGUGACCGCAGACGGGAGUGUAGCGAGCAGUGCGUGACCAAACACUUCUCUCAACAAAGUGUACAAGAGGCAGGAGACAAACAGAACGCAACUUUACAUUUACUGCAGACACAAAACCAAGAAGCAUAUACAGUUAAACCACAUUUACCCUUCACAGACCCUGUACCCGAUACCCUCUGCAAUACCGCUUGCUACACCGCACACGGCUUGUAGAAGUCCCCCCCGCAAUGCAGUUUGCUACACUGCACACGGCCACUGCAGGGAAACCCCCCCUCCUGCAAAGCUGCUUGCUACACCGCACACGGCUACUGCAGGAAUACCCCCAUACAAAGCAGCUUGCUACACCGCACAUGGCUAUUGUAGGGAUUCCUCCCCUACAAUGCCGCUUGCUACACCGCACACGGCUAUUGUAGGGGCGCACUCAUACAACAUACAUUCAUACCCAGGAGGCAGAUAUUCAAUAUACAGGUUCUAUACAAAAGAGACUCCGGGCAAGUUAUUUACCUGUCUUUGGUGCCCUGCGGCAGCCGAUACAGACACGGAGACAGGCCAAUCACAGAGACAGGAUAUAUAGGCAAGGUGCUAAGCCAGUCAUUACCGUAUAUCAGAGGUGAUCAGUCUCUGUCCCGUCACUGCAGGUCUGCCUCAGCAUCUUCUAGGACGGCCGUCAACGGGGACAGAACAUGGAGCCCCACGUUGGGCGCCAAAUUGUUUUAGACCAAACCAGGUGUUUGCGUGAAUAUCUGCCCCUGUCCAAAUAUUUAAGGUGAAAUGAUGCGUGCACGCUGAAGAAAUCACACUGACAACAAAGUUCAGUUAAAAUAAAAACUUUGAAGUGUAUUAUCAGGGGGUGGCGUAGCCCUUUAAAAAUUCAAAAGAAUGCAACGUGUGCAAAUACAGAAAGUAAACUUUUUAGUAGGUUUUUUAGUAAGUAAACAUUUAAUUGGUUAGAUGUUAGGUGUUUUAUCUUGAUGGACGCCAUCUUACUACCCGAGGGUCUUGGUCGAUGGGAGGGGGUGCUCUAGCAGCCAUUUUGAGUAAUUAAUGAGCACAGGUACACAUAGUAAAUAGACAUUUUACUCACAUUAAUUUCUGUCCAUCACAGGGGGGGGGGGGGCAAACACAUAAGGAAGCACCCCAACCUACAUACACCUUUCCACAUAUAACACUCGGCAACAACACAAUUUCACACUUAUACAACACACACAAAAAUUAUUAAAAAUAAAUCUGGAGAAUAUAUCAGCUUUUUCCAACUCUGAAGCUUAUUUGAAGCUCAUAAAAUUAUAUUUAAUGCAAAGGUCUAUAAGAUAAAGAACAAAACAACCUGCAGAUGAGGUAUAAACCCUUUCCUUCACAUUUCAGAAUUCCCUGCCAACUUGAGUCUAUAUCGCCAAUAUGUGUUUUGCCAGCUAGGGCUGCUGUUGACAAUCAGGCAGUUCAAAUUGGCAAGGAAUAGCACACUGUCAGCAGUAGUGGAGAAUAGACUGAGCUGCAUUUUGCAAACACAGGCAUCGGUUUGGCCUUGUUAAAGAUGAAAAACGUAUUUGUAGAAACCAGCUAUUCUAAAUAAAUUACAUAAGAGUCAGUAACAAACGUGAGUUUAAAUAAUAUAUGUAUUUUGUCGGCUAUUAACUCUUUGGGGGGGGGGGGAAACUGUAAAAAGAGUUUUAUGCUGAGGAUUUUCAUAAAAAUCACAGGAAUUUAUGCUUCAAAUUUGACACUCACAGAACGCUUCAAUUCAUAUAUUUUGUGUGUUAUGUAGACUUUUUUUAUAGAUAAAAUACAUUGAGGAAGUUCUUAUUAUUUAACUAGUUGUGUUAGUAAAACUAGCAAAUAGAAGUCUCAAAGAGAACCUUUAAUGCACUGUCUACUCCUCCCACAAUGCAUCUGUGUGACUGGUAGAAGGACUGCCACAGCGUUUUGACUACCAGGAAGUCCAAGGAACGUAAGCAAAGGCUGAUGGGAAAUGGCAAAACACAGAGGUUGGCAGAAUCUGCUUGAUGCUCAGCCCAGUGGCACAUUUUCCUAAAAAUCUAUACAACAAGGUAGUACUUAGUUAUUUGCAGAUUCUAUUUCCAAUUUAGCUAUUUUGGCCCAAUAUUUGAAAUUCACUUUAAAUUCAUUUGGAAUGCCAGACAAUUCGUACUUUAACCCCUUAAGGACCAAGCUUCUGGAAUGAAAGGGAAUCAUGACAUGUCACACAUGUCAUGUGUCCUUAAGGGAUUAAAGAACUUUGUCAGGUUUUAUGAGUUUUUCUUAGAGAUUUUAUCAUAUUUUAAAAUUGUGACUUUGCUACUUAUGGUAACUUUAAAUGAACAGUCCGGACCUCUAAAGCACUUCACCUUGCUGAAAUUUGUGUGAACACUUUGUCCUCUUUUUUCAUUUUACAAAAAGUGCAGGUUUCAAUAGAAAUUGGUACUUUUAUAAACUAUCCUUGUUACGUUGUUCGUCAAUCAGACAACCGGUCCUGUUACUUCCUGGUUGUUUAGCUCACUGGAGCUAAACUCAAGAGGCAGCAAUUGCUCAGAGCACCUGCUCUGCAAAGACUUCUCAUUGAACUCAAGGCCGGUGCAAGGAUUUUUGCCGCGCUAUGCAAAAGUAAAGUUUGCCACCCCCACCCCAUGUGACAUCACAAUGCUCCACCGAUAUGAUCUGCCAUGUUAACUAACGCCAAUGCAGCACUGCCGCCGUGUUUACAUUAUAAGGCAUGCAGGGACAGGCUAUAGACACCAGAACAACUACAUUAAGCUGCAGUGGUUCUGGGGACUAUAGUGUUUCUUUAAUGUGAGGUAAAUUAGAGCUUAGUGCCACGAAUAAUAUACUAGAUUGCCUACUUACAACCAGAUGAGGAUGAUGAUGGGCUCUAGCUGCAGUCUGGCUCCAGUCGUCUGGUGUAGAACAGGGUCUCUGGAGGCUGUUUGUAACUGUGGUCACAAAAAUCAAUGUUCUGGGAGAACGGGAAGCAGCUCCAUUUUUUGGGGGCCCUUUACACAGCUCAAAGUCUGGGUCCCAGGGUCCACCUUCAUGUUCCACCAAUGAGUUUGUUCACAGGGGGUGGAGUGUGUAGGGGAUGUCCUGAUAUGUGUGUAAGGAAUGCAUUGUGUGAAUCUGUGUUUGUAUGUGUAAGGGCUGCAAGGUGUGUUUCUGUGUAUGUACAGGAUGCAGUGUGUGCGUGUGUAAGGGGUGCAUUGAGUGUGUGUAAGGGGUGCAUUGAGUGUGUGUAAGGGAUGCAUUAUGUGUAAGGGUUGCAUUGUUUGUGUGUGUGUGUCUGUGUGUGUAAUGCAUUGUGUGUUUUUCUGUGUGCAAGGAGUGCAUUGCGUGUGUGAUGGAUGUCAAUCUCUCCCCCCCUCCCUUGUCACUCUCUUCUCCCCCCUCUCGCUCCCUUGUCACUCUCUUCUCCCCCCCUCCCUCCCAUGUCACUCUCUUCUCCCCCCCUUGUCACUCUCUUCUCCCCUCCCCCUCCCCACUCUCAUAGCCCCUCCCUCCCCUGUCACUCUCACCCCUCGUCAAUUUCUUUCUAACCCCGUCAAUUUCUUCUCCCCCCACCAAUUUCUUCUUCUCCCCCUCCCCAUUUCUUCUCCCCCCUAUCAAUUUCUUCUCCCCCCUACCAAUUUCUUCUUCUCUCCCCUCCCCUACCAAUUUCUUAUUCUCCCCCUCCCCUACCAAUUUCUUCUUCUCCCCCCUCCCUUACCAAUUUCUUCUUGUCCCACCCUCCGCAUUUCUUCUUCUCCCCCCUCCUGCCAAUUUCUUCUCCUCCCCCCCCUGCCAGUUUCUCUUCUCCCCCCUUCCCCUACCAAUUUCUUCUUCUCCCACCCUCCCCAUUUUCUUCUUCUCCCCCCUCCUGCCAAUUUCUUCUCCUCCCCAUCCCCUGCCAAUUUCUUCUCCCCCCCUCCCUGCCAAUUUCUUCUUCUCCCCCUCCUGCCAAUUUUCUUCUUCUCCCCUGCCAAUUUCUUCUUCUCCCCCUCCUGCCAAUUUCUUCUUCUCCCCUCCCCUGCCUCCCCCCUCCUGCCCAAUUUCUUCUUCUCCCCCUCCCUGCCAAUUUCUUCUCCUCCCCCCUCUACCUCUGUUGUAGCGUGGCCGAGCCCUCUAUUGGUCCGCGGGUACAGGGAGCUUUUGUACAGACAGCUGCUCCCUGUACCCGCGGACCAAUAGAGGGCUCGGCCACGCUACAGGGAGGGAGUGACAGGAGGGAGCGCUGAGCGCUUCCCUCCUGUCAGCCCCUCUCCUCAGGCUGCGCCCGGGCGGUGCGGUCCGCCCUCAUGGACGCACCGCCUGGGAAAAGCUGCAGUCGCCUGAGGCUCUCUGCAGAGUGCUCGGGCGGCUGCAGCAUGGGGGGGCCGUCGCUCCUGGGGCUGCCUAGUCCGCCUAACAGGUAGCUCCGGCCCUGAUUGAGCUGCACUGGGAAAAAUAUUACAAAUAGGUAAUAGCAACAUUCACCAGGGCCAGUGCAAGGAUUUUGGCUACACAAGCAAAGACACAUUUUGCCCCCCCCCCCAAAACGCAUCUUCGCCGGUGUACGGGUGUGUGUAAUAUCCCUCUUUUGCUCCUCAUACCCAUCCUUUUGCCCUUUUUCUGUUUUACCCCUUUUACUCUUAUGUUGUUUAUAUUCCCCCAUUUUAUGUUUAUCCCUCCAUUGAGGUCCCUUACCUCUGAUUUUUCUUUUACCCCUAUUGUAUCUCAUAUCCACCCUUUUAAAAGUGAAUUUUAAAUUUAAGUUCAAAAUAACCAAAUUGGGUAAGCUUUUAGUUGGACUACUCUGGCCUUCUGUUUGAAGUUUGACAAAAGUUGACAAAGGGAAGAGCUCCCAUGUCGACUUUUGUUCAAUCCCAGGAGCUGUCACAAAUUACAGGUUUUGUCAAUGGAGGGUCCAGUGUUCUUGUGUGUUGUACUAUUGUGUAUGCGCAAGAGUUCAGCAGUGACGUGGCUCCUGGCAGCUGAAGUUUCAGGAGCCUAAGAUGACCUGUAUCAUGAACAUGACAGCCGUAAGUAAGUAAAACUCACCUCUCCUGCACCUGUGGCCAUCAGACCCCCACCAGAUCUGUCCGCUUUGUAGGUGUUUGUGAAAUAUGCAAAGACCCCCAAAACUGAUAGACUCCCAAUUUUGUGUUUCUUACUUGCAUCUUGUGUCACUUACCCCCAUCACGUCGUCCCCCGUUUCCCAGCUUGUGUCUCCUACUCCCCCCCUUUGUGACUGUUACUCCCCCCAUUUCUCUUACUCUUUGUUUCUCAUGCUCCCCUUACAUUUGUGGCUGUUACCAUCUCAUUAGCAUGUCCUUGAAGAUCAAGGUUGAAGGUCUUCUUUAUCCUUCACCAAAACAACACAGGUCUGAUUGAACUUGAUGACAUUCAGAAAAUGAUACAACCAACACAGACUUUGCUCCAUCGCUGAAUCCUUGGAAGUAUAAAAAAAUGGUAACAACGGUUACAUUACAUUGCUCGCUUGUUAUCGUAGGCUUUGUUGAAGACGACAGAAGAGCAUAUUGUUUGCAUUUCUUCUUUUUGUAACUUACUGGGGAAUUUCUUGGCAUAAAAUGUUUGGUAUUUUCCCACAGUUCUGUUUAAGCUUAAAAACUAAAACAUGGAAGAUAAACUCUGUUUCUUUUUUCUUCUAAUAUCCAAAGCUGUUCUUGAUAAACCACACAGUAGGCAGGUUAGCUCAUUCCGUAUAAUUGUUGUGAUACCUGUUUAGUUUUCACUUAUCAAAUGUAUUUCCCAAGAUGAUUGUCAGCUCACACAGCUUACUGUUUAACGAAUAAACAUUCUGGCAUACAUAGGGUUCAGUGGAGAUCUCCUUACUAGGUAAAGAGAUAGCAUUUGCCAUCCAUAUGAAUUUUUCAUAUUUGUAUUAUCUUCUAUAUAGCCCAACAGUCCCAGAACCAAUGAGACAGUCCUGAUGUGCGACUCCAGUCCCAUCAAUCUUUUUUUUUUUUUAUCCUUUUGAAGUGCUUCUUUAAUCGCCAGAGAAAUGCCCCCCAGGUGAGUGCACUUUUCUCUUUCUGGUUGCCUCUGAUUAUCAGUGAUGUAUUUGGGGAUUUUUUUUCACUGAACAUUGCAAUAAACUGAAAACCAGCUUUUACAGUGUAGGAUAAAAUAACCAUGCUGUAAAUAUAGCAGAUCUUAAGAUUUGUUCCCCCCAAGUCAGCACUGCAGUUUGGUUUUGAUGUCACUACAUUGUGUCAGUGACAUGUCCCCACCCAGAGCCUUAACAGACAACUUUACAGUGUUUAUAAAUGGGUGUGAAAAGGUCUUAUUCUAGUAUACCUUCAGAAAUGCCUGUGAUCACAGUCUGUCAUUUAAAGGGACACUCCACUGCCAAAAUACAGAAUAAACAUAGCCGUCUAGAAGAUAUACACCAAAUGAAAAUCUGCAUGCAUUUAAUUAUGCUUUUUAUUGUGGAUAUAUCUAAAACCAACUUGCAAAACCGGCAGUUCUCUUGACUGUAGCCAGGCUUCCCCAAACUUUGACCCUCCAGAUGUUGCUGAACUACAGCUCCCAUGAUUCUCAGCCUAUCUAUUUCAUUCAUAGAAUCAUGGGAGUUGUAGUUCAGCAACAUCUGGAGGGCCAGAGUUUGGGGAAGCCUGUGUAGCCUUUGCAAACCCUCCCAGACUUUCUGUGGCUGUCCAAUAACAGCCUUCCCAAUGCAGCUCAAUGAAAGUCUUCGCAAGACAGAUGCUCUGAGCAAUUGCUGCCUCUUGAGUUUAGCUCCACUAAGCUAACCAAACCAGGAAGUAACAGGAACUGUUGUCUGAUUGAAAGCCAAGGGGGUGUAACCAGGUUACUUUAUAAAAGUGUCAGUUUCUAUUGAAAUCUGCGCUUUUUGCAAAAUGAAAAAGGGACACAAGAGGACACACUCUUCACGCAUAAGCCUUUCAGCAUUCUAAAGUGCUCUAUGGGUCUGGAGUGUCCCUUUAAAUUCUUUCUGAUACAUCUGGUAUACAUGCUUAGUUACCACCGUGAUCCUGUUCUUUUGUGGCAAACCUACGGCAUUUCCUGGCAGAGCUUUGAUAUGUCUGUCAUAGGUUAAAAAAACAGGAGAAUGGAAUGGAAAAUAUGAACGCAGAUGAAAAUAUGUUUAUGUAGACUCCAGAACCUGUACUAAAUCAAGCAGUUUUAUGUCUAACAAUUAUUUCUCAACCAGAACUAACAUAAAAUCUCUAGAAUGCUACGACGAUGUUCUAAUAAGUGAGAAAAGGAACGAUACAAGCAUGCAUUUUUUUAAUUUGCUUUUGAUAUCCUGUUUACGUGUUAAAAUAGAAGUCAUGUAAGCAGUCUAUAAAACAGUUGUUUUUCACAUGGUGUGGUAUGGCUCUGAGUCUGACACCACUCCCUUCCCUGGCUCAUUAUAUUGCACUUCAGACAUCAACCUAUUUCUGCUUUCUAAUCCUUUUGGUUCUUGUUAUACUUUUUAAAAAUCAGUGCUUGCUUGUGCUUGUGAAUUCAUUUAGUGCCCAUGUUUAAUUGAAGGUGGAAACUGUAUUUUAUGGCCAAAGUCUACUCAUGCGCACACCUCCCUUCAGGUACACUUGUGCAAGCAUUGAACUCUCAGGCGUGAGAGAGCACCGACUUCUGUUUUGUCUUGUUAGCAGUAAAUCUAAACAAAAACACCACAAAAACAUCAUGUUAGUAUUUUAAGUUUAUUUAUCCUUACCUGUUAAACAUAUUCUUUCAGUUCACGUUGUUCCUUGGAGAGUCAGGGCCCAUUAAAUUAAAGAGACACUAUAGUCACCAGAACAACUACAACCUAAUGUAGUUGUUCUAGUGUCUAUAGAAAAGGCAGUGUUUACAUUACUACCUAGGAACACCUCUAGUGGCAGUCACUCGCUAGAGGUGCUUCCUGGGUCAGUGCUGCUCAAUGUUGUGCUCUGCAUGGAGGCAAUGAACAUUACUUAUAGAGAUGCAUUGAUUCAAUGCGUCUAAAUGAGGAGAUGCUGAUUGGCGCAUGCACGAUUGCCUCCCAAUGCUUUUCUAUGGGAAAGCUUUGGCUUGGCUUAUAUCAUCAAGUUUGAUAAUCUGAGACAAGGGGCCAGUCUCAAGUGAGUAGAUAACCUUUUACCUUCCUGAAGUUGGACUGGUGAUCUAAUUUGCACUAUUAGAUCUUUAGUGUCAGGAAUACAUGUUUGUAAUUCUAUAGUAUUCCUUUUAUGUUGCCAUGUAUAAAGAUCUACAGCUAAAAUGUAUUUAGAAAGUAUUCAGACCACUUAAUUUUUUUUAACUUUUAUUAGGUUGCAGCCUUAUAUUACAAUUGUCUAAAUUAUUUUUUUUCAGGUGAAUCUACACUCAAUACCACAUGAUGACAAAGAAAUAAGCAGAUUUUCUCACCACUGCAAAUAUAUUAAAGAGAAAAAAAUGAAAUUCCAACUUGACACAAGUAUUCAGACCCUUAAGUCAGUACUUAAUUAAAACACCUUUGGCAGCAAUUGUAGCCUCAAUUUUUUUUGGUUAUGAUGUGACAAGCUUUGCACACCUGACGUUAAGUAGUUUUUGCUAUUCAUCUCUGCAG
This 16111-nucleotide long non-coding RNA is filed under the name Pelobates cultripes (western spadefoot toad). The record is from RNAcentral. Lineage: Eukaryota; Metazoa; Chordata; Amphibia; Anura; Pelobatidae.